AAGGAUCAGGCAUUCCUCCUCCAUUUACAUCGUCAAAUAAUAUCUUAACGAGUUGAAUGAUUUUGUGGUGGUAAUGAAUUUGUGAUAUGCAUAUAUAUCAUCAAGAUCUCAAAUUGGAUCCCCUUAAUUCAAUUAGUGGCUAUAUAUCCUCUAUUCUGCAUCAUCAAGAUUCAAGACUCAGAUCUGUUGGGCAUUACAUUUAUGUAUUAUAUGUGUUUUGUUCACGUACUUUGUUAAUAUAGCUCGAUUUCUCUUUCAUAUAGCAUGGUUUGAUGGGGCUUGAAGGGACUAUCCACUUGCAAAUCCAUUGAUUUGGAUUAUGAACGAGAGAGACAAC
Molecule: long non-coding RNA, 337 nt
Filed under: Manihot esculenta (cassava)
Lineage: Eukaryota; Viridiplantae; Streptophyta; Magnoliopsida; Malpighiales; Euphorbiaceae
Description: long non-coding RNA (MESC_LNC008845)
Source: RNAcentral